Molecule: long non-coding RNA, 1206 nt
Organism: Nicotiana attenuata
Lineage: Eukaryota; Viridiplantae; Streptophyta; Magnoliopsida; Solanales; Solanaceae
Exons: 2
Source: RefSeq, a predicted model, not a curated record
ACACCCAAAAGGGAGGGAGACUAAAAAAAAAAAAGAGACACCAUCUUCUUCACAAAAUCGGAACACCAAAAACCUUCAAAUCAAGCGCCGUUUUUUUUAGACCUUGAGAUCCCCCCAGCAAACUUGGUCUUCUUCAUGAAGAAAUCAACAAGAGAACGGGCAACUGCUGCUGCUUCUUCAUGAAGUCAGCCGCACAUCACAAACGAGACACCCUAACACAAAGCUGACCUCCACUGUCCAGCCCCAAAACUUCAUUGAAAUUUGACUUUCUCCACCCCUGUUUCAACCCCAAAACUAUCCAAACUCUAGCCAAAAACGCAGAAAAUUCCAGCUCCAAAAUCGUUGCGCUGCUGCUUCUGAACAGCCACCAAACAGCCUCGAAAUAGCUUUAGAAACGCAACAAAACUUGCUACGAAACAGGCCCAGAAACGACCCUGAAGCAGUAGCUCAGAUCAGCCGAAUAAUCCUUGAAACACAAAAUUUCAGUCGAGUUCGAGGUUGCGGACGAGGUCGUAGUUUGUUAGCUCCGGUCUAGUUCACCUGAAGUUCGUGUUAUCGUGUAUAUUGGAAGAUUUGUGUUAAUCUGUAAAGGAUUGGGCUCGAAGGCUUGUGAUUUUGUUGUUGCAAAGAUUCGGAUUCACUAGAGAUAAUAUACAUGACAGGAUGGAGGGAACACCAUUCUCAACAGAAAGCAAAGAAGAGGGGGUCAGCCACAGUGUCAUUCCAGGAUCUCCAAAAGCAAUUUGGCAGUGGUGGUGGCUGCUGACGUCUCGCUACAUUCUUUCACGAUGCAUUUCUUACCUGUUUUCUGAUGCUUUCCAGCAGCUAGAAGAUGAGGGGAUGGAGAUACCCAUAAUUUAGACAUUCUCUUUCAAAACCUAAAAGUUUUAUAACCAGCUUUCUUUACUCAUGCAGGAGAAUCCUGUAAAAUAAUAGGUAAUAAUAAUAAACUUUUAGUUGAACCAUGGAGUACUUCAACUUUCUUGUCAUUGCAAAAAACACCGAUGUACAUCUGUAUCAAGACAUGAUGUUGUUCUAUAAACACUAGUAAGGUUGUAUUAGGACAAGUCUGUCUCCCUCUCCCCCCCCCCCCCCCAAUUGUUUGCCAUGGAGCACUUCAACUUUUUUGUCAUUGCAAAAAAAACACUGAUGUACGUCUGUAUCAAGACAUUAUGCUGUUCAAUAAACACUAGUAAGGCUGUAUUA